AGAGUUUGAUCCUGGCUCAGGAUAAACGCUGGCGGCGCACAUAAGACAUGCAAGUCGAACGGAAGUCGUUACGAAAUGGAAUGAAGAUUUAUCUGAUUGAAGUUUUGUAACAAUGGCUUUAGUGGCGGACUGGUGAGUAACACGUAAGCAAUCUACCUAUUAGAGGGGAAUAACAAUGAGAAACCAUUGCUAAUACCGCAUAAGCUUGUAGUACCGCAUGGUACAGCAAGAAAAGGAGCAAUCCGCUAAUAGAUGAGCUUGCGGCUGAUUAGCUAGUUGGUGUGGUAACGGCAUACCAAGGCAACGAUCAGUAGCCGGGCUGAGAGGCUCUUCGGCCACAUUGGGACUGAGAUACGGCCCAGACUCCUACGGGAGGCAGCAGUCGGGAAUUUUGCGCAAUGGAGGAAACUCUGACGCAGUGACGCCGCGUAUAGGAAGAAGGUUUUCGGAUUGUAAACUAUUUUAGUCAGGGAAGAAAAAUGACAGUACCUGAAGAAUAAGCUCCGGCUAACUACGUGCCAGCAGCCGCGGUAAUACGUAGGGAGCAAGCGUUAUCCGGAUUUAUUGGGUGUAA
This 574-nucleotide ribosomal RNA is filed under the name uncultured bacterium. RNAcentral's name for it is "bacterial SSU rRNA". It matches the Rfam family "Bacterial small subunit ribosomal RNA", at positions 8 to 563 of the family's 1533-position model. The record is from RNAcentral.